GCCGAAGUGGUGAAACUGGUAAACACAGCGGACUCAAAAUCCGCCGGGGGCAACUUCUUGAGGGUUCAAGUCCCUCCUUCGGCA
This 84-nucleotide transfer RNA is filed under the name Spirochaetota bacterium. RNAcentral's name for it is "Spirochaetes bacterium (wastewater metagenome) tRNA-Leu". It matches the Rfam family "tRNA". From Rfam's summary of the family: Transfer RNA (tRNA) molecules are approximately 80 nucleotides in length. Lineage: Bacteria; Pseudomonadati; Spirochaetota. The record is from RNAcentral.